GUGCCAGCAGCCGCGGUAAUACGGAGGGUGCAAGCGUUGUCCGGAUUUAUUGGGUUUAAAGGGUGCGUAGGUGGCUUAUUAAGUCAGUGUUUAAAGUCUUCAGCUUAACUGGAGGUAUGGCAUUGAUACUGAUAGGCUUGAGUAAAGUUGAGGUAGGCGGAAUUGAAGGUGUAGCGGUGAAAUGCAUAGAUAUCUUCAAGAACACCGAUUGCGAAGGCAGCUUACUAAGCUUUAACUGACACUGAGGCACGAAAGCGUGGGGAUCAAACAGGAUUAGAUACCCUGGUAGUCC
RNAcentral lists this ribosomal RNA (292 nucleotides) under uncultured bacterium. RNAcentral's name for it is "partial 16S ribosomal RNA". It matches the Rfam family "Bacterial small subunit ribosomal RNA", at positions 505 to 796 of the family's 1533-position model. The record is from RNAcentral.